RNAcentral lists this long non-coding RNA (1239 nucleotides) under Piliocolobus tephrosceles (Ugandan red Colobus). Its description in RNAcentral is "lncRNA (ENSPTEG00000012108.1)". The record is from RNAcentral. Lineage: Eukaryota; Metazoa; Chordata; Mammalia; Primates; Cercopithecidae.
AAAACUUAUCGAUAUUAUUAAUCAACUUAUAAACAUAGACAUUGGUGUUUUGAACAUAAAUGCAAGUUAUGACGAACCAAACAAAAAUGAAUACGCACUGUUAACAGAGUAUCAAAAAAAUUAUGAUGAUAAUGAAAUGAUAAAAAAAAGCCACAAAUGCAGUAACAGUAGCAGUAUUUUUAGCCAUAUCACUACUCCUAUGACUAGUCCUAUUACUAGCCCUGUCAUUAGUCCUAUCACUAGCCCUGCCAUUAGUCCAUUCACUACUCCUAUCACUAGUCCAAUCACUACUCCUAAUUACAUUUCAAAAAUACCAAGUAAUAACAAAUUAAACAAAGUAAACAGUUCAAAAAGUAGUUUACAAAAGUUAAAUAACAAUGUAAUAGUUGGUUCUAACAAACAUGUAAAAAAAGGAAUAGACACAUGUAAAGGAUUAAAAUAUGUUUCGUCUAGUAUGUCAAAAAGUGCAGAAAAAAAAAGACUUCUUAAUAAUAAAAAUAAUAACAAUAGCAACUUGAAGAGUAGAAAUAGAAGUACAUUAUUUUUAAUAAGUGACACAAAAGAUACAUCGCAAGCAAAUAAAAGUUAUAGCAACAAAAAAUAUGUUAAUCGUGUAAGUAAAAAUAAACAAGACAUUAAUAAAGACAUCUCUUUUAUAAGCAUACAAGAGCAAGAUUCAGUUGAUAGUUAUAACAAGUUGGUAAAAAGUAUGCACGUCGGCACUAAUGACUAUGGAACUAAUGAUUAUGGCACUAAUGAUUGCAGUAAUAGCAACAGUAGUAGUAAUAGUAGUAAAACUUGCGACAGUGAUGUAAAACAAAAUGUAAAAAAUUCGAAUAAUAUACCUACUAACAUGAAUGAUAAUAAUGUAAAUAGGAUUAACAGUAAUGAUCAAACAAAAAGUGAAAGCUACUUUUAUAAUACAAACGAACCGAACUAUAUUACUUGGAAUAUUAGUAACGGUAUAGUCAACACGAGUGGGUUAUUUGUAGAACAAACAGUUAAAAAAGAAAAAUUAAUAAUAAAUAAAAAAACUCCUGAAUUAAACAUAACUGUUAAGAUUAUUGGAAAACAAAUUGUAUGGUUUGUAAAUGGUAUAUUAAUUUUCGUCACACCGUUUAAUAAUAAUAUGAUGUCUUUUAUACCACUUCUUAAAAUAACACCAAUAAUAAUAAAACAAAAAGAAUUAGAAACAUUAAAACAAAGCGUAGUACAUAACAAUCGUAUUAACUUUUCAUU